This 463-nucleotide ribosomal RNA is filed under the name uncultured bacterium. RNAcentral describes it as "partial 16S ribosomal RNA". It matches the Rfam family "Bacterial small subunit ribosomal RNA", at positions 28 to 507 of the family's 1533-position model. The record is from RNAcentral.
GAUGAACGCUGACAGCAUGCUUAACACAUGCCAGUCUUUGGUGAAGCUGUGCUUGCACAGCCUAGCCAAGGCGGACGGGUGAGUAACGCGUAAGGAACUUGCCCUGCAGUCAGGGAUAACAGACGGAAACGACUGAUAAGACCUGGUAAAGUCAGGCGGACUCAUGUCCAGCCUGAUGAAAAGAGAUGCUGCAGGAGAGCCUUGCGUCCUAUUAGCUUGUUGGUGGGGUAACGGCCCACCAAGGCAAUGAUAGGUAGCCGGCCUGAGAGGGUGGACGGCCACAAGGGGACUGAGAUACGGCCCUUACUCCUACGGGAGGCAGCAGUGGGGAAUAUUGGACAAUGGGGGCAACCCUGAUCCAGCAAUUCUGUGUGCACGAUGAAGGUUUUCGGAUUGUAAAGGGCUUUCAGCAGGGAAGAAAAAAAUGACGGUACCUGCAGAAGAAGCGACGGCUAAAUACGUG